RNAcentral lists this ribosomal RNA (877 nucleotides) under Bacillus subtilis. RNAcentral's name for it is "bacterial SSU rRNA". It matches the Rfam family "Bacterial small subunit ribosomal RNA", at positions 60 to 918 of the family's 1533-position model. Lineage: Bacteria; Bacillati; Bacillota; Bacilli; Caryophanales; Bacillaceae. The record is from RNAcentral.
AGUCGAGCGGACAGAUGGGAGCUUGCUCCCUGAUGUUAGCGGCGGACGGGUGAGUAACACGUGGGUAACCUGCCUGUAAGACUGGGAUAACUCCGGGAAACCGGGGCUAAUACCGGAUGCUUGUUUGAACCGCAUGGUUCAAACAUAAAAGGUGGCUUCGGCUACCACUUACAGAUGGACCCGCGGCGCAUUAGCUAGUUGGUGAGGUAAUGGCUCACCAAGGCAACGAUGCGUAGCCGACCUGAGAGGGUGAUCGGCCACACUGGGACUGAGACACGGCCCAGACUCCUACGGGAGGCAGCAGUAGGGAAUCUUCCGCAAUGGACGAAAGUCUGACGGAGCAACGCCGCGUGAGUGAUGAAGGUUUUCGGAUCGUAAAGCUCUGUUGUUAGGGAAGAACAAGUACCGUUCGAAUAGGGCGGUACCUUGACGGUACCUAACCAGAAAGCCACGGCUAACUACGUGCCAGCAGCCGCGGUAAUACGUAGGUGGCAAGCGUUGUCCGGAAUUAUUGGGCGUAAAGGGCUCGCAGGCGGUUUCUUAAGUCUGAUGUGAAAGCCCCCGGCUCAACCGGGGAGGGUCAUUGGAAACUGGGGAACUUGAGUGCAGAAGAGGAGAGUGGAAUUCCACGUGUAGCGGUGAAAUGCGUAGAGAUGUGGAGGAACACCAGUGGCGAAGGCGACUCUCUGGUCUGUAACUGACGCUGAGGAGCGAAAGCGUGGGGAGCGAACAGGAUUAGAUACCCUGGUAGUCCACGCCGUAAACGAUGAGUGCUAAGUGUUAGGGGGUUUCCGCCCCUUAGUGCUGCAGCUAACGCAUUAAGCACUCCGCCUGGGGAGUACGGUCGCAAGACUGAAACUCAAAGGAAUUGACGGGG